CCUACGGGAGGCUGCAGUGAGGAAUAUUGGUCAAUGGGCGCAAGCCUGAACCAGCCAAGUCGCGUGCAGGAUGACGGUCCUAUGGGUUGUAAACUUCUUUUAUACGGGAGUAACACGCCCCACGCGUAGCGUUCCGAAUGUACCCGAAGAAAAAGCAUCGGCUAACUCCGUGCCAGCAGCCGCGGUAAUACGGAGGAUGCGAGCGUUAUCCGGAUUUAUUGGGUUUAAAGGGUGCGAAGGCGGAAGAUCAAGUGAGCGGUAAAAUUGAGAGGCUCAACCUCGUCGCGCCGUUGGAACUGGUUUGCUUGAGUGAGCGAGAAGUAUGCGGAAUGCGUGGUGUAGCGGUGAAAUGCAUAGAUAUGACGCAGAACUCCGAUUGCGAAGGCAGCAUACCGGCGCUCAACUGACGCUGAUGCACGAAAGUGUGGGUAUCGAACAGGAUUAGAUACCCGAGUAGUC
This 459-nucleotide ribosomal RNA is filed under the name uncultured bacterium. RNAcentral describes it as "partial 16S ribosomal RNA". It matches the Rfam family "Bacterial small subunit ribosomal RNA", at positions 338 to 795 of the family's 1533-position model. The record is from RNAcentral.